This 303-nucleotide ribosomal RNA is filed under the name uncultured bacterium. RNAcentral describes it as "bacterial SSU rRNA". It matches the Rfam family "Bacterial small subunit ribosomal RNA", at positions 355 to 655 of the family's 1533-position model. The record is from RNAcentral.
UGAGGAAUAUUGGUCAAUGGGCUCAAGCCUGAACCAGCCAUCCCGCGUGCAGGAUGACGGCCUUAUGGGUUGUAAACUGCUUUUCUACGCAAAGAACGGGUCUUACGUGUAAGGCAUUGACGGUAGUGUAGGAAUAAGCAUCGGCUAACUCCGUGCCAGCAGCCGCGGUAAUACGGAGGAUGCAAGCGUUAUCCGGAUUCAUUGGGUUUAAAGGGUGCGCAGGCGGAGAUAUAAGUCAGUGGUGAAAAGCUGCCGCUCAACGGUAGUCUUGCCAUUGAUACUGUUUCUCUUGAGUAUGGAUGA